This 494-nucleotide ribosomal RNA is filed under the name uncultured bacterium. RNAcentral's name for it is "partial 16S ribosomal RNA". It matches the Rfam family "Bacterial small subunit ribosomal RNA", at positions 28 to 507 of the family's 1533-position model. The record is from RNAcentral.
GACGAACGCUGGCGGCGUGCUUAACACAUGCAAGUCGAACGGUGAAGCGCCUACCUUUUUGGUGGGUGUGGAUGAGUGGCGAACGGGUGAGUAACACGUGAGUAACCUGCCCCCUUCUUCUGGAUAACCGCAUGAAAGUGUGGCUAAUACGGGAUAUUCUGGGUCUGUCGCAUGAUGGGUCUGGGAAAGAUAUUGUUUCGGUGGGGGAUGGGCUCGCGGCCUAUCAGCUUGUUGGUGGGGUGAUGGCCUACCAAGGCGGUGACGGGUAGCCGGCCUGAGAGGGUGGACGGUCACACUGGGACUGAGACACGGCCCAGACUCCUACGGGAGGCAGCAGUGGGGAAUAUUGCACAAUGGGCGCAAGCCUGAUGCAGCGACGCCGCGUGAGGGAUGGAGGCCUUCGGGUUGUGAACCUCUUUCGCCAGUGAAGCAGGCCUGCCUCGUUUGUGGGUGGGUUGACGGUAGCUGGAGAAGAAGCGCCGGCUAACUACGUG